CAGAGUAGGGACAGCGCGUCAAGUGCCGGCGGAUGGGAAGUUGCCGCCGGACGAAGGGGCCCACGGCCCCGCGUUGCUGCUCCCGCGUCCGCUGC
RNAcentral lists this non-coding RNA (95 nucleotides) under uncultured Dysosmobacter sp. RNAcentral's name for it is "THF riboswitch". It matches the Rfam family "THF (Tetrahydrofolate) riboswitch aptamer". Rfam says of the family: THF riboswitch presents a pseudoknot that joins P1-P2 and the loop of P3 and two THF binding. The record is from RNAcentral. Lineage: Bacteria; Bacillati; Bacillota; Clostridia; Eubacteriales; Oscillospiraceae.